ACCUGAGUACUAUGAAUGUUAAAAAUUUAAAACUCAAAGAACUUGNGCGGUGUUUUAGACCACUCAGGGGAACCUGUCUCAUAAUCGAUAAUCCACGCUGUACCUGACCCUUUUUUGUGUUCAGUUUGUAUACCGUUGUCGUCAGGUAACUUUUUAGAAAUUAGAAGUUAGCAGCAGAAAUAGAAAUAAUUUAAUACGUCAAAUCAAGGUGCAGCUAAUGAAAGGGGGAGGAUGGGUUACAAUUAUAUAAUUUAUAAUAACGGAUAGGUGUAUGGAGUAUAUACUAAUUAUAAGGCGGACUUGAAAGUAAAUUAGGUUAUAUAAAUAAUUUGAAUAAGGCUCUGAAACGUGU
RNAcentral lists this ribosomal RNA (352 nucleotides) under Terebra sp. MNHN IM 2013-52295. RNAcentral's name for it is "partial 12S ribosomal RNA". The record is from RNAcentral. Lineage: Eukaryota; Metazoa; Mollusca; Gastropoda; Neogastropoda; Terebridae.